This 497-nucleotide ribosomal RNA is filed under the name uncultured bacterium. Its description in RNAcentral is "partial 16S ribosomal RNA". It matches the Rfam family "Bacterial small subunit ribosomal RNA", at positions 28 to 507 of the family's 1533-position model. The record is from RNAcentral.
GAUGAACGCUGGCGGCGUGCCUAAUACAUGCAAGUCGAGCGAACUGACGAGAAGCUUGCUUCUCUGAUGUUAGCGGCGGACGGGUGAGUAACACGUGGAUAACCUACCUAUAAGACUGGGAUAACUUCGGGAAACCGGAGCUAAUACCGGAUAAUAUUUUGAACCGCAUGGUUCAAAAGUGAAAGACGGUCUUGCUGUCACUUAUAGAUGGAUCCGCGCUGCAUUAGCUAGUUGGUAAGGUAACGGCUUACCAAGGCAACGAUGCAUAGCCGACCUGAGAGGAUGAUCGGCCACACUGGAACUGAGACACGGUCCAGACUCCUACGGGAGGCAGCAGUAGGGAAUCUUCCGCAAUGGGCGAAAGCCUGACGGAGCAACGCCGCGUGAGUGAUGAAGGUCUUCGGAUCGUAAAACUCUGUUAUUAGGGAAGAACAUAUGUGUAAGUAACUGUGCACAUCUUGACGGUACCUAAUCAGAAAGCCACGGCUAACUACGUG